This 373-nucleotide long non-coding RNA is filed under the name Junco hyemalis (dark-eyed junco). Its description in RNAcentral is "lncRNA (ENSJHYG00000015338.1)". The record is from RNAcentral. Lineage: Eukaryota; Metazoa; Chordata; Aves; Passeriformes; Passerellidae.
GCCCCCCCCGCCUUUUGCAUGAAGUAGGAUCCUUGAGCUGUUGCAGAGGCAGCCAACUGCUCCAUAUUUGGCUUCUAUUACCCAUUUACAUGCUGGAGAGCGGAGAGGGAGCGAGCGCUGUACCGCAGACAUCAUUUCUACUACAGUGGUGGAGACAUCCCGGACCUGUGUCACUGCAGGGGGAAGGAAAAAAGCCAAACAAACAAAAAGCAGACCCAAGCCCCGUGAUCAGCUAGGAAGACAUUUGUGUGCCAGUCUCUCUCUGACCCCCCCACCCCCGCCAACCCCACCUCCACUGACACUUUACAUCACAUUGCAGGCCAAGCCAGAUGGGCAAGCAAUACAAGCUGUGAAUUUAUUCUUGACCCCGUAG